CCUACGGGGGGCUGCAGUCGAGGAUCUUUUGCAAUGGGCGCAAGCCUGACAAAGCGACGCUGCGUGGAGGAUGAAGGCCUUCGGGUCGUAAACUCCUGUCAUUCGGGAACAAUACCGAGAGGAUUAAUACCCCUUUUGAUUGAUGGUACCGAAGGAGGAAGCCACGGCUAACUCUGUGCCAGCAGCCGCGGUAAUACAGAGGUGGCGAGCGUUGUUCGGAUUUACUGGGCGUAAAGGGUGCGUAGGUGGUUCUGUGUGUCGGAUGUAAAAGCCUGGAGCUUAACUCCAGAACGUCAUUCGAAACUGCAGGGCUAGAGUGCAGGAGAGGAGAGCGGAAUUCUUGGUGUAGCGGUGAAAUGCGUUGAUAUCAAGAAGAACACCGGAUGCGAAGGCGGCUCUCUAGUAUGUUACUGACACUGAGGCACGAAAGCCGGGGGAGCAAACAGGAUUAGAUACCCCUGUAGUC
This 466-nucleotide ribosomal RNA is filed under the name uncultured Verrucomicrobiota bacterium. RNAcentral's name for it is "bacterial SSU rRNA". It matches the Rfam family "Bacterial small subunit ribosomal RNA", at positions 338 to 795 of the family's 1533-position model. Lineage: Bacteria; Pseudomonadati; Verrucomicrobiota. The record is from RNAcentral.